GGCAUUUCGGUCAAUAAAAGAAGUUGUCUAAAUAAACUCCACACUGGUCUGCUGCAGGUGCUACAGGGAUGGCAAGCAGAAGAACAGACAAAAGUUCUCUGUCAUCAGCAGCAGACUGGAUCGAAGAACUGUAGGACAAAGAAUGGCUUUUGCUACUCAAGUCUACCAUAUGCUUAUGGAAAAGAGAGUGCUGGGACAGAAGACAACUGGAAAGUGCCUAGCAGGUAUUCGUGUGAGGCCACGGUCAUCGGGUGGAAAUCUGCAUGGGGCGGAGGUGGCUGCACCGUGUGGAAAUCCCAGCUCAGAUGGGAAGGAUGCAGAGAGCUGGGUAGGACGAACACCGAAAGGAGAGGAGAAUCUGAUGCAGUGAAAUGUCCUGGUUAUUUGAUGGCAGGAAUGAGGAAGGUGCUCUCUGAAAAGGAGAACAGUGGGUACUUUGUCGGCUACCACCACUCAAGUGAAAUCCAGGUCAUGUCGAUUUCAGACCUUUUUAUUAGUCACUGCAUUCUUUAUUUCAUGCAUGCAUUAUUUCCACUGUGUCUUUUACACUUACUGUGGUAUGUCAAAAAGCAGCAGACAGAUUUGUGUGUGUAG
This 594-nucleotide long non-coding RNA is filed under the name Cairina moschata (Muscovy duck). RNAcentral describes it as "domestica (muscovy Duck (domestic type)) lncRNA (ENSCMMG00000009593.1)". Lineage: Eukaryota; Metazoa; Chordata; Aves; Anseriformes; Anatidae. The record is from RNAcentral.